UUGGGUAGCAGGAUUUUUACCUGCCCUAAUCAGCCCAAGAAUGGGUGAUCCUUCUACCUAUAGCUCUUCCUUGGCGACUGCAUACACAUACCCUCAGCCUCUCCCCAUCAAACAGAUUGCAACAAGUGUCAGGACUACAGGGUUUUCGUAUACUCCAUGAUCAUCGGAACACCUUGCAGGGAGUGCGCAGCGAGGAGUACACCUGAUUGAAUGGGCAGCGUGCUGGAAUGCAAACAAGAAUGUGAAGUGUUUUGUAUGAAUGUGGAUUCUUCCAUUCCAAUACUAACUGGCUGUCAGCAGUUCUCUUUGAAGCUGGAGCACACUGGAGCUCAAUCAC
RNAcentral lists this long non-coding RNA (337 nucleotides) under Gallus gallus (chicken). Its description in RNAcentral is "long non-coding RNA NONGGAT003396". The record is from RNAcentral. Lineage: Eukaryota; Metazoa; Chordata; Aves; Galliformes; Phasianidae.